GAUGAAUGCUGGCGGCGUGCCUAACACAUGCAAGUCGAGCGGCAGCGAGGGGUGCUUGCACCCUGUCGGCGAGCGGCGAACGGCUGAGUAACGCGUAGGAAUUUGCCCCAAAGUGAGGAAUAACUGCCCGAAAGGGUAGCUAAUGCCGCAUAUGGUCUUCGGAUUAAAGGAUUUAUCCGCUUUGGGAGAAGCCUGCGUUGGAUUAGGUUGUUGGUAGGGUAAUGGCCUACCAAGCCGACGAUCCAUAGCUGGUCUGAGAGGAUGAUCAGCCAGACUGGAACUGAGACACGGUCCAGACUCCUACGGGAGGCAGCAGUGAGGAAUCUUCCUCAAUGGGCGAAAGCCUGAUGGAGCAACGCCGCGUGAAGGAUGAAGGCCUUCGGGUUGUAAACUUCUUUUAUGAGUGAAGAAUAUGACGGUAACUCAUGAAUAAGCACCGGCUAACUACGUG
This 451-nucleotide ribosomal RNA is filed under the name uncultured bacterium. Its description in RNAcentral is "partial 16S ribosomal RNA". It matches the Rfam family "Bacterial small subunit ribosomal RNA", at positions 28 to 507 of the family's 1533-position model. The record is from RNAcentral.